This 422-nucleotide long non-coding RNA is filed under the name Brassica napus (rape). Its description in RNAcentral is "long non-coding RNA (BNAP_LNC007995)". Lineage: Eukaryota; Viridiplantae; Streptophyta; Magnoliopsida; Brassicales; Brassicaceae. The record is from RNAcentral.
UGACAAUUUACUUCAAAGAAAAUAAGCUACCAUCAUAAUCAUUCUAUCACUCACUCACGGAAAUACUUACCUCUCAUGUUAUAAUCAACUAUCGCCAUCAUCUCUGUCCGCUACGUCAUCGCUGCAAGCUAGCUUCAUCACCAAUACUACUCCCUCCAGCGUCCUUUCUACCCAACUUCCUUCCAUCUCCAGCCCAUCCUCCGCCUCCGUGUUAGUCGUCCUCUCAGACGAUUCGGGAUCUCAAAACCUAAUCCCUCAACCACUCGUAUAGCUUUCUAAAUACAGUUUUAUGUGAAUCGAUUACAAAAGAGGAGAGUAAUUGAUUUGUAACCGAUGACGAUCGAGUUUCGUAGUAGGCGAUUCACACAAACCAAUAACAAAGAGUUUUCUGAUGCUGACACGUGUCGGCAAAAGCCCCACUC